This 71-nucleotide transfer RNA is filed under the name Kneria sp. SL-2004. RNAcentral describes it as "tRNA-Ser (UCN)". It matches the Rfam family "tRNA". From Rfam's summary of the family: Transfer RNA (tRNA) molecules are approximately 80 nucleotides in length. The record is from RNAcentral. Lineage: Eukaryota; Metazoa; Chordata; Actinopteri; Gonorynchiformes; Kneriidae.
AAGAAAGUGGCAGAGUGGUCAUGCGGCUGGCUUGAAACCAGCACAUGGGGGUUCAAUUCCCUCCUUUCUCG